This 575-nucleotide ribosomal RNA is filed under the name uncultured bacterium. RNAcentral describes it as "bacterial SSU rRNA". It matches the Rfam family "Bacterial small subunit ribosomal RNA", at positions 338 to 916 of the family's 1533-position model. The record is from RNAcentral.
CCUACGGGAGGCAGCAGUAGGGAAUAUUGGGCAAUGGAGGCAACUCUGACCCAGCCAUGCCGCGUGCAGGAAGAAGGCGUUAUGCGUUGUAAACUGCUUUUAUAUAGGAAGAAAUAGACCUUGCGAGGUAAGUUGACGGUACUAUAUGAAUAAGCACCGGCUAACUCCGUGCCAGCAGCCGCGGUAAUACGGAGGGUGCAAGCGUUGUCCGGAUUUAUUGGGUUUAAAGGGUGCGUAGGCGGUUUAUUAAGUCAGUGGUGAAAGACGGUCGCUCAACGAUUGCAGUGCCAUUGAUACUGGUAGACUUGAGUGGGAUUGAGGUAGCUGGAAUGGAUAGUGUAGCGGUGAAAUGCAUAGAUAUUAUCCAGAACACCAAUUGCGUAGGCAAGUUACUAAGUCUCAACUGACGCUGAGGCACGAAAGUGUGGGUAUCAAACAGGAUUAGAUACCCUGGUAGUCCACACUGUAAACGAUGAUAACUAACUGUUGGCUUUCGGGUCAGUGGUACAGAGAAAUCGUUAAGUUAUCCACCUGGGGAGUACGCCGGCAACGGUGAAACUCAAAUGAAUUGACGG